UGCUACGUACUUUUUCAAGAA
RNAcentral lists this non-coding RNA (21 nucleotides) under Caenorhabditis elegans. The record is from RNAcentral. Lineage: Eukaryota; Metazoa; Nematoda; Chromadorea; Rhabditida; Rhabditidae.